AGUAAUGUCUGGGAAACUGCCUGAUGGAGGGGGAGUAACUACUGGAACGGUAGCUAAUACCGCAUAACGUCGCAAGACCAAAGAGGGGGACCGUUCGGGCCUCUUGCCAUCGGAUGUGCCCAGAUGGGAUUAGCUAGUAGGUGGGGUAACGGCUCACCUAGGCGACGAUCCCUAGCUGGUCUGAGAGGAUGACCAGCCACACUGGAACUGAGACACGGCCCAGACUCCUACGGGAGGCAGCAUG
RNAcentral lists this ribosomal RNA (244 nucleotides) under uncultured bacterium. RNAcentral describes it as "partial 16S ribosomal RNA". It matches the Rfam family "Bacterial small subunit ribosomal RNA", at positions 109 to 353 of the family's 1533-position model. The record is from RNAcentral.